AUUGAACGCUGGCGGAAUGCUUUACACAUGCAAGUCGAACGGCAGCACGGACUUCGGUCUGGUGGCGAGUGGCGAACGGGUGAGUAAUGUAUCGGAACGUGCCCAGUCGUGGGGGAUAACGUAGUGAAAAUUACGCUAAUACCGCAUACGAUCUAUGGAUGAAAGCGGGGGAUCGCAAGACCUCGCGCGAUUGGAGCGGCCGAUAUCAGGUUAGGUAGUUGGUGGGGUAAAGGCCCACCAAGCCAACGAUCUGUAGCUGGUCUGAGAGGACGACCAGCCAAACUGGAACUGGGACCCGGUCCAGACUCCUACGGGGGGCAGCAGUGGGGAAUUUUGGACAAUGGGCGAAAGCCUGAUCCAGCCAUUCCGCGUGCAGGAUGAAGGCCCUCGGGUUGUAAACUGCUUUUGUACAGAACGAAAAGGUUUCUACUAAUACUAGGAGCUCAUGACGGUACUGUAAGAAUAAGCACCGGCUAACUACGUGCCAGCCGCCGCCGUAA
RNAcentral lists this ribosomal RNA (500 nucleotides) under uncultured bacterium. RNAcentral's name for it is "partial 16S ribosomal RNA". It matches the Rfam family "Bacterial small subunit ribosomal RNA", at positions 30 to 523 of the family's 1533-position model. The record is from RNAcentral.